Molecule: ribosomal RNA, 274 nt
Filed under: uncultured bacterium
Lineage: Bacteria
Description: partial 16S ribosomal RNA
Rfam family: Archaeal small subunit ribosomal RNA
Source: RNAcentral
AAACCAGCACCUCAAGUGGUCAGGAUGAUUAUUGGGCCUAAAGCAUCCGUAGCCGGCUCUGUAAGUUUUCGGUUAAAUCUGUAUGCUUAACGUACAGGCCGCCGGGAAUACUGCAGAACUAGGGAGUGGGAGAGGUAGACGGUACUCGGGAGGAAGUGGUAAAAUGCUUUGAUCUCUCGAUGACCACCUGUGGCGAAGGCGGUCUACCAGAACACGUCCGACGGUGAGGGAUGAAAGCUGGGGGAGCAAACCGGAUUAGAAACCCCGGUAGUCC